Molecule: long non-coding RNA, 650 nt
Filed under: Vitis vinifera (wine grape)
Lineage: Eukaryota; Viridiplantae; Streptophyta; Magnoliopsida; Vitales; Vitaceae
Description: long non-coding RNA (VVIN_LNC006793)
Source: RNAcentral
UGCAUGCUGCACAAAAUGAACGGCUCCCACUAAGAAUUGUGGUACAGGUCCUCUUCUCUGAGCAAGUGAAGAUAAACAACGCAAUAGCCAACAACACCCUGAAAGAAGCUGGUGAAUCUCAGUAUCAGCCAAUGAUAUCAAACCGAAAAACAUUACUUGAGGGUACCCCACAAUCAUUUCAAGAAGGAUGGACAGCAGCUAAAAAGGAUAUUAAUACACUAAAAUUCGAGCUUGAGAGCAUGAAGGCUAAGUACCUUGAACUCCAAAACGACAUGGAAAAUUUGCAGAGACAGUUUGACAAGACGUCAAAGCAGAAACAGACAUCGGCAUGGACCAGUGGCUGGAAGAAACUAAGCAAACUCACCAAGAUGACAAAUAUAGAAACUCAUGAUAUCGGGUCUCAGCUCCCAACUGCAGCCGACCAGACUAGAAAGACACCUAGAAGAUGGAGGAAUUCUAUUUCCUGAACAUAUGAGAAAGAUACAAAGAUGAAAAUUUCCAAGAAAGGGAUGAUACCUCAACUAUUCAACUGUGUUUUCCCCUGUUUUCUUUCUUUUCCUGUUUGGUUUUUUGAGAAAAUGAAGGUCCUUUUUCUUUUUCUUGCAGUAGCAGUUAUCUGGUAGUUCAAGUACAAUUUGUCGCCCUUUUCU